GUGUCAGCCGCCGCGGUAAGACAGAGGAGCCAAGCGUUGUCCGGAGUAACUGGGCGUAAAGCGCACGCAGGUGGUUCUGUGCGUGGGGUGUGAAAGCGCUCGGCUUAACUGAGCGAGGCCACCUCAUACGGCAGAGCUCGAGGCUGUGAGAGGUCCACGGAAUUGCCGGUGUAGUGGUGAAAUGCGUAGAGAUCGGCAGGAACACCCAGGGGGAAACCAGUGGACUGGCACAGUACUGACACUCAUGUGCGAAAGCGUGGGGAGCGAACCGGAUUAGAUACCCCAGUAGUCC
Molecule: ribosomal RNA, 292 nt
Filed under: uncultured bacterium
Lineage: Bacteria
Description: partial 16S ribosomal RNA
Rfam family: Bacterial small subunit ribosomal RNA
Source: RNAcentral